This 422-nucleotide unclassified non-coding RNA is filed under the name soil metagenome. RNAcentral's name for it is "partial contains 5.8S ribosomal RNA, internal transcribed spacer 2, and large subunit ribosomal RNA". The stretch from base 1 to 120 matches the Rfam family "5.8S ribosomal RNA", at positions 35 to 154 of the family's 154-position model. The record is from RNAcentral.
GAUGAAGAACGCAGCGAAAUGCGAUAAGUAAUGUGAAUUGCAGAUUUCAGUGAAUCAUCGAAUCUUUGAACGCACCUUGCGCCUUGUGGUAUUCCACAAGGCAUGCCCGUUUGAGUAUCAUUAAAUCAUCAACUCUAAAACCUUUGUGGUUUUUUUAGAGCUUGGUCUUGAGGGUUUUGCAGGCUUUUUUUUUUUCGAGUCUGCUCCCUUUAAAUUCAUUAGCGAGACUUCCCUAUGCUGAACCGUCUCUUUGACGUGAUAAUUAUCUGCGUCGAAUUUUGGUUCUCGUUGGGCUUGCUUCUAAUCGUCUGUUAAAGACAAAACGGAUUUGGGUGCAUAUAUGCGCCUUUUUCCAAAACCUUUUUUGAUCUCAAAUCGGGUAGGACUACCCGCUGAACUUAAGCAUAUCAAUAAGCGGAGGA